RNAcentral lists this ribosomal RNA (253 nucleotides) under uncultured bacterium. RNAcentral's name for it is "partial 16S ribosomal RNA". It matches the Rfam family "Bacterial small subunit ribosomal RNA", at positions 524 to 776 of the family's 1533-position model. The record is from RNAcentral.
UACGGGGGGGGCAAGCGUUGUUCGGAAUUACUGGGCGUAAAGGGCUCGUAGGUGGCCAACUAAGUCAGACGUGAAAUCCCUCGGCUUAACCGGGGAACUGCGUCUGAUACUGGAUGGCUUGAGUUUGGGAGAGGGACGCGGAAUUCCAGGUGUAGCGGUGAAAUGCGCAGAUAUCAGGAGGAACACCGAUGGCGAAGGCAGGUCUCUGGGCAUUAACUGACGCUGAGGAGCGAAAGCAUGGGGAGCGAACAGG